AAUGCCAUUUCUGCAGAAGUGGAGCAGAUCACAGGCAGUGACAACGCCCAUCCUUUUGGCCACACUGGGGUUUGGGAAGAGUUUCUUGUAACAGUAUUUGUAUCAUUUUGUCUGUGUUGGCUCCAAAUGCUGCUGGGAUCCUGACCUUCCACUCUGUCUCCUUGUACUACAGGAAGACCCUGUUCCCAAUGGCCUCCGGGCACUCCCAGUAUUCUAUGCUGCUACCAUAGCAAUCAAUGUCUUUUCCAUCAUGUACACAGGAGCACCAGUGCUCGGCCUGGUUCUCCCCAUGUGGGCCAUAGCCCUCAUUUCCUUUGGUGUCGCCCUCCUGUUCGCUUUUUUUGUGUGGCUCUUCGUGUGUCCGUGGAUGCGGAGGAAAAUAACAGGCAAAUUACAAAAAGAAGGUGCUUUAUCACGAGUAUCUGACGAAAGCCUCAGUAAGGUUCAGGAAGCAGAGUCCCCAGUAUUUAAAGAGCUACCAGGUGCCAAGGCUAAUGAUGACAGCACCAUCCCGCUCACGGGAGCAGCAGGGGAGACAUCGGGGACCUUGGAAGGCACUUCUGCGGGCAGCCA
Molecule: small RNA, 573 nt
Filed under: Pan troglodytes (chimpanzee)
Lineage: Eukaryota; Metazoa; Chordata; Mammalia; Primates; Hominidae
Description: retained intron
Source: RNAcentral